CCGCGCAGAAAACGGAGUGGGGAUGCGGGACACGGGAGGAAGCGGGGGGCCGGGGCGGCCCCGCGGCUAGAGCCGCUCGUACAGCCCUGCCCCCCCGCCCGGCUCCGCUCCGCUCCUUCCUCCUUCUUCACCCCCCCUUUCUCUCCCUCCCGCUUCCCCCCGGCCCGGGCGGGGUGUGGGUGGCCGCGGGGACGGUGGACAUUUUGCGAGUCGCGGCUGCCCCCGGUGCGGCAGCGGCGGCGGCCUCGGGGUGUGUGAGACUGCGCGUGUGCUCGUGUGUGCGGGGGGGCGGCGUGCGGUGCCGGUGUGUGUAUGUGUGUGUGCAGUGUGUGUAUAUGUGUGUGCGUGCGGUGUGUGUGUGCGAGCGUGGGGGCUCUGGUGUGUCUGUGUGUGUGCGGUGCCGGUGCGUGUGUGUGUGCGGAGGGUGCGGUGCCGGCUGUGUGUGUGGGUUGCCGUGCCUUGCCGUGUGUGUGUGAUGUGUGUGUAUGUGUGCGGGCGGGGGAUGCGGUGCCGGUGCGGUGCCGUGUAUGUGUGUGUGUGUGUGUGUGUGUGCGUGCGCGGCCGGCACGGCGCGGUGCGGGGGGGCCGUGCGGGGCUCGUACGCCGGGCGGACCCGGCGGGGCGCAGCGCCGGGCCGGUCGCCGGCAGGGCCGGUCGCCGCCACCGCACGGCGUAUGUAGUACGGGGCUGGGCGGCUGCCGGAGGGUGAAUGAAGCGAGGAGGAGGCGGCGGCGGCGGCGGGGGAGGCGGCGCUGGCGCUGGGAUGUGCCCGGCAGCAGCCCCGCUUCGCUUCACUCAGGGCCCAGGCCGGCUGCAGACGCCACCCGUCACAUUGCAGGCCAAGCCAGAUGGGCAAGCAAUACAAGCUGUGAAUUUAUUCUUGACCCCGUAGGACAGUGACCACCAUCAGUUUUUUCUUCACCCUACAGUUAUGCACUGCCAAUAAGGUGAGAAUGCAAUGCCUUUUAUUUUUUUUUUUCCUUCACCACGUGUACACUGUCUGCUCUGGGCUUUAGGCAAAGUGCACAUCUUCCUGGUGUCUGUGUGAUUACCUACCUGUGAUAGGUUUGUACUUCCCUUGCCUGGCAGCAGAGGUCCUUGAGAAACUCUGCUCAGAAAAAUUCCUUUAAC
This 1131-nucleotide long non-coding RNA is filed under the name Junco hyemalis (dark-eyed junco). Its description in RNAcentral is "lncRNA (ENSJHYG00000015338.1)". The record is from RNAcentral. Lineage: Eukaryota; Metazoa; Chordata; Aves; Passeriformes; Passerellidae.